AGAUUCCAGGCCCUACGGGGCGCAGCAGGCGCGAAACCUUUACACUGCGCGACAGUGCGAUAAGGGGACCCCGAGUGCGAGGGCAUACAGUCCUCGCUUCUGUGUACCGUAGGGAGGUACACGAAUAAGGGCUGGGCAAGACCGGUGCCAGCCGCCGCGGUAAUACCGGCAGCUCAAGUGGUGGCCGCUGUUAUUGGGCCUAAAGCGUCCGUAGCCGGCCGCACAAGUCCGUCGGGAAAUCCACCCGCCUAACGGGUGGGCGUCCGGCGGAAACUGUGCGGCUUGGGACCGGAAGACUCGAGGGGUACGUCCGGGGUAGGAGUGAAAUCCCGUAAUCCUGGACGGACCGCCGGUGGCGAAAGCGCCUCGAGAGGACGGAUCCGACGGUGAGGGACGAAAGCUAGGGUCUCGGACCGGAUUAGAUACCCGGGUAGUCCUAGCCGUAAACGAUGCUCGCUAGGUAGCCGUAAACGAUGCUCGCUAGGUGUGGCGCAGGCUACGAGCCUGCGCUGUGCCGUAGGGAAGCCGUGAAGCGAGCCGCCUGGGAAGUACGUCCGCAAGGAUGAAACUUAAAGGAAUUGGCGGGGGAGCACUACAACCGGAGGAGCCCGCGGUUUAAUUGGACUCAACGCCGGACAUCUCACCAGCACCGACAGUAGUCGUGACAGUCAGGUUGAUGACCUUACUCGAGCAACUGAGAGGAGGUGCAUGGCCGCCGUCAGCUCGUACCGUGAGGCGUCCUGUUAAGUCAGG
This 753-nucleotide ribosomal RNA is filed under the name uncultured Halobacteria archaeon. RNAcentral's name for it is "bacterial SSU rRNA". It matches the Rfam family "Archaeal small subunit ribosomal RNA", at positions 311 to 1038 of the family's 1478-position model. The record is from RNAcentral. Lineage: Archaea; Methanobacteriati; Methanobacteriota; Halobacteria.